This is a non-coding RNA of Drosophila melanogaster (fruit fly), 403 nucleotides long. Lineage: Eukaryota; Metazoa; Arthropoda; Insecta; Diptera; Drosophilidae. The record is from Ensembl.
AACAUAUGUAGUUCUCUCAAGAAGUGAAAUGAAAACAUUUAUUGCGAUUUGAAUUUAAAGCGCUUGAUUCAAUAAACAUGGACAAUGGGAAGGAACAGUCCAGUCCGGAAACGCACAGUACGCACCCGCUAUUCAAAGCGAAAUCCGGGAAAACCGAGAUCCCAACCAUUGAUGAAGCUGUGGACUAUCUACAAAUCCGAGCUAUAGAGCUAUCGAGUUUGACAUCUCCGCCGUUAGACUAUACAAUGAUGCGAUCAUCAUAACGCCCUUACGGAUGAUCAGUGGACAGUCGGAUCGACCUGCAUCUUGUUUUUAAAAUAUUGCAUCUUAAACGUUUGUUUAGACCUCGCUUCAGUUCCCACUGUUUGUUAUGACCACCAAAGGAAUUAUAAUAAUAAAAAAU